UGGCACUUCACCCACCAAGAGAUAUAGAGUGACAGAGUGAUUUCAGAGAGAUUUAAACUAAAAUGUUCAGUCGAAUUAUAGACUAAAAUAAGGGCUUCAGCAAGGUCAGCAAAACAAUCAGAGAACUUUGAAGACCAAUAUGAUAUGAGGUUCUACAUCAUAUUCAGACAAAAAAUCGCAUCAUUUUGCUUUGCUCUCUUGCCAGAACCAGCUUAUUCCUAGAAACCAUGAAUGAAUAAAUCACAUAGGUAGCUUUAUAGAGGCCCAUGGAGAUACACGAACAUCAUAUAUGAAAUGUAAGAAUCGCCAUACACGAAUUUGCUUUGCUGAUUCAGUUAAUUAAGUACACAAGAUAUUAUAAAGAUUCGCUAGAUGAAUUAAGUACGAAGGGCUUGAGGCAGGUCAGCAGAGCAAUCAGAGAACUUUGAAGACCAAUCUGAUAAGGAUUCUACAUGAUGUUCAGACAUGAUAAACUCAUCAUUUUGCUAUGCUUUCCAGCCAGAACAUCUUAUCCUCAGAAACCAUGA
This is a long non-coding RNA of Juglans microcarpa x Juglans regia, 527 nucleotides long. RefSeq lists it as uncharacterized. The record is from RefSeq and is a predicted model, not a curated record. Lineage: Eukaryota; Viridiplantae; Streptophyta; Magnoliopsida; Fagales; Juglandaceae. The transcript has 2 exons.